RNAcentral lists this ribosomal RNA (1003 nucleotides) under Salmonella enterica subsp. enterica serovar Typhimurium. RNAcentral describes it as "partial 23S ribosomal RNA". It matches the Rfam family "Bacterial large subunit ribosomal RNA", at positions 711 to 1629 of the family's 2925-position model. The record is from RNAcentral. Lineage: Bacteria; Pseudomonadati; Pseudomonadota; Gammaproteobacteria; Enterobacterales; Enterobacteriaceae.
AGACCCGAAACCCGGUGAUCUAGCCAUGGGCAGGUUGAAGGUUGGGUAACACUAACUGGAGGACCGAACCGACUAAUGUUGAAAAAUUAGCGGAUGACCUGUGGCUGGGGGUGAAAGGCCAAUCAAACCGGGAGAUAGCUGGUUCUCCCCGAAAGCUAUUUAGGUAGCGCCUCGUGAAUUCAUCUCCGGGGGUAGAGCACUGUUUCGGCUAGGGGGCCAUCCCGGCUUACCAACCCGAUGCAAACUGCGAAUACCGGAGAAUGUUAUCACGGGAGACACACGGCGGGUGCUAACGUCCGUCGUGAAGAGGGAAACAACCCAGACCGCCAGCUAAGGUCCCAAAGUCAUGGUUAAGUGGGAAACGAUGUGGGAAGGCCCAGACAGCCAGGAUGUUGGCUUAGAAGCAGCCAUCAUUUAAAGAAAGCGUAAUAGCUCACUGGUCGAGUCGGCCUGCGCGGAAGAUGUAACGGGGCUAAACCAUGCACCGAAGCUGCGGCAGCGAACGUAUCACCCAAGACAACUUUACGGAGUUGGCGAUUGACGGAGCGAAGCGACGUCAAAGCGUUCAUUAAAGUCGAGUUGGCUUAGGGAUACGUUCGUUGGGUAGGGGAGCGUUCUGUAAGCCUGUGAAGGUGUGUCGUGAGGCAUGCUGGAGGUAUCAGAAGUGCGAAUGCUGACAUAAGUAACGAUAAAGCGGGUGAAAAGCCCGCUCGCCGGAAGACCAAGGGUUCCUGUCCAACGUUAAUCGGGGCAGGGUGAGUCGACCCCUAAGGCGAGGCCGAAAGGCGUAGUCGAUGGGAAACGGGUUAAUAUUCCCGUACUUGGUGUUACUGCGAAGGGGGGACGGAGAAGGCUAUGUUGGCCGGGCGACGGUUGUCCCGGUUUAAGCGUGUAGGUGUGUGUUCCAGGUAAAUCCGGUUCACUUUAACACUGAGGCGUGAUGACGAGGCACUACGGUGCUGAAGCAACAAAUGCCCUGCUUCCAGGAAAAGCCUCUAAGCAU